RNAcentral lists this unclassified non-coding RNA (5642 nucleotides) under Hevea brasiliensis (rubber tree). Lineage: Eukaryota; Viridiplantae; Streptophyta; Magnoliopsida; Malpighiales; Euphorbiaceae. The record is from RNAcentral.
UAAAACUUUAUUUAGCCAAACGAAUAUGACUAUUUUUUUCCAGAUGAAAUUGUUAAUAAAAAGUCACUUACAAAAAUAUUUUACAAUUUUUUUUUCUAACAAAUUUAUGAUUAAAAUUAUUGUCAGAAAUGGAAAAAAUUUUCAGUAGUGAGCUUGCCAUAAGAGAAAAAUUCCAUCGGACGAAAUGAACAAUUCCCCCAUUACAAUUGAGACAUCAUCUACAUGUAUCAGUAUAAAGUACAAAGCAAACACCGCCAAAUCUCAUGCACACCUUGUUACAAGAACACGCGAAGCAAAACUAAUGCAAAUCCAUCCCUCAUUGUCAACCCACACCCUAUAGAUCAGUUGAAAGGCCUAUCACCAGUAAUCACGGAAGUCCAAUGUUAACUAGCCAAUUCCCCUGAUGCUUGCCUUUCAAUUACUUCCUCAUUCUCUGAACCAGCUCUGACAGGGCUGCUGCUAGGGAGAAUGCUGUCACUCUGGGAGUUGCUGGCAUUGUUGACUGCUUCAACAUUGUCUCCAGCCUUCAAAUUGCCCAAAUUCGGGGAAUUAAAUCCAGUAACACGGUCUUUUGAUUGUUUUGGCUGAUUCAGGGCAUGACAGUGGGGGCAGUAGUAAAUAAUGUACGGGAAAUCCUCCUUCCUGGCGAGCCCAUUGUGCAUAUGGCAGUUUCCACAUAUCAGUGCAUAAGAUUGUGUAGGGUCUUCACCGACAAGUAAUGCUGCCAAUCGAGCAAUCCAUCCCCCAUCGUGCACGGUAGAAGCCUGUGGAUUGUGAUGCUCAACGACAAGCUGAUUAUGCUCAGAAGUUUGAAGACCUUCACUUUGUGCAGAGCAUAGCAUUUCUUCGUUAGGAUGAAGCACUGGAGCACUCCCUGCACUACUGGAUCUAGCGUGUACUUGCUUUCUAUUUCUAAGGCUACUAGCUUGCACAAGCUCAACAUCAUUACUCUUCCCAGUUGGAAUGUUAAGCUUAGCUUCAUCUUCCACAGACACUUUCAAGCCAGAAUCAGAACCCAACUUAGACGCGAGGACAGUGGCAGCAGCUGCCUUUGCUGCUGGAUCAGGAUCAUAUCUCUGCAUAGACCCGGGUUUAAACUAAAAUUGGAAAUUCACAAACAUGGUAUCGUAAACAUUCCUAUUAAAGGAUAAAACCACUUGUUGCAUCAGCUCAAUAAAAAUAUUUUAUUUACAUUUAUUUUCCUUUGAGAUAUUCCCCAUCCAUUGCAUAUAUAGCUACGAAAUAUCCAAUUUUGAGACCUAAGUGAGCUAUCCACCAUGAUCCUUUUAAUUCAAGGUCAGAGUAGAAAAAAUGGCAUUACUGUAGUUUGCCAAUUUUAACCAUGUGUUCAUGCUUUUAUUGGCAUAGAAAUACUUUGAUUCCACUAACAAUUUUAAUUUUAUAUUGAAAAACUAGAAAAAAAAACUUUAUUCAUUUUAUUUAGCUUAAUUUGACCUAUGAUUAUUUCUCUGUUACUAAAUUUCAAUACAAUCACUAAACUUAAAUUUGCAUAAGCAAAGUCACUUAAUUGUAAUUGUCUUAAAAUAUUAUUUUUGCAAGUAGAUUUAAAAAAUUACUAAUUAUUAUAAAAAUUUUGGAUUAAAUCUAGUCAAAAUCCGGCAACAAUGACCUUAAUGCAACACAAUCAAAAUUGAGUUAUUUUGCUAAGACAUUAAAGUUCAGUAACCAUGCCAAUAAUCAUGGUGUAGUCGAUGAUGGAGGCGUGUAUGAUGGUGGUGGUAGUGCUUCAAAAUAAUGCCUACAUGUGUAACAGGUGGAAAAUAAGUUUUUCAUAAAGAAAAUUAUUAGAAAGCAAGUUCUAGUAGUUUUCCAACAAAAAUAUAUAAUUUUUGUAAUAAAUUUUCCAAUAUGUAGACCAGCCCUAGGGAUUUAUCAUUACAUAAUUUUCUAAGGAUUAAAAUGUAAAGGUAUAUUAGUAUCUCUUCAUUUUCCUUUCUAUCUCUCCGCUUUUCUUCCUCUAAAGGAGCAUGUUACUGUUCACUGCACUAUUAAUAGAAUCAGUUGGCUUGCAGCUUCAAUCUUCCAGACUUCCAUCCCCAACUCUAAGGCAUUGUCACGUCUAUAAAAGUCCCACCUUUAAUGUGUAAUCCAUAAAUACCACUAAGAUUUCCCGAGUCAUUCACAUCAAUUUCACCAUCAAAACAACUCAGAAAAAUCUGAAAUUGCAGGCUAUGGGAAAAAUAAAUUUUAAGUUUCAAUAAUAAAUUUCAUGUUUCAAAUAAAUAACACAUGGAAACCUAUCCAUCCAAAAUUGUCCUACAGAACGCCAACCUCUAAUUUUUCCAAAGAUUUAAUUCAAGUUCUACAUUAAAAGUUAGGGACUUUGGGUAGAGUUGCAGGUUGCAUUGUAGUUGAGUAAUGUUGGAGACAAAAUGGUACAGGAGUCAGACAUUACUGUUGAAGGAAUUUAUGAGCUGAGAAAGAGGGGAUUUUAUUUUAAUGAUAUAUAUGGUUUAAAAAGAAAAAGUGAAGAGGGUAGCUGCAGGCCUGCAGCAGAUGAGAAAUGGGAAGUCUCACUAUGGAUUCAUGCCUUCAUACUCGUAUGAAAAUGCUUGCAAUCAAAGACCAUGGAAGUAAAGAUAUGCUUAUUACAAGUGUGUAGAGGAGUAUAACAAUAAAAGCUUAGUAAAUACAAACCUCUAGUAAUCACUAGUCAACUCCACACUCAGCUAAAGGCCCAAAUAUGAGAUGAUGGCAUUGCAGAAACUUCCAAAAAAAAAAGUCCAUUAAUCAUACCAAUAAGCACUAAGUUGAAAACCUAUUUAACCUAGACUAUGUUAUAUUUGCCUACAUUGAAUUUGAAUGUCACCUAAGAAUAAGAUUCCAACACAGAGCAACUCUAAUGUCAAAAAUAAAAACUAGAAGAAAACGCAGAAAGAUAUCUCGUUACUAGGCCAUAUCACAAAUUACCUACCAUCACUUUAUAUAAAUAAAAAGCUCAAUUACAAUUAAUCAUAAGAACAUUCAUAAUACCAUUUUAGCCUAGAAAUAUAUUCCAGUGAAAUCAAGCCAGAUUAUCAUUAAUACUCUGAUAGGAUUUUAACUAGGUGCAAAAUAAAUAAAACGCAAAGGAUUUUUUUUACCAAUUUGGGAAUGGGUAAAAACCUCUAGUUGGACUCAAAUUCAAUGGGCACCUCAAAAGAAAAGGGUCUCAAUUCAUCCAUGACUAACCUUAGAGCUUCUCACUCCCUUUUCCGCAACAUCACUGCACACCAUGAUUAGGAAAACAACACUAAUAAAAAAUUGUGUGAGUGUAGCUCAAACAACUUUGACCUAUAAUCUGAAUGGAAUAGAUUUGAGAAAUAAUGGAUUAUUUGUUGAAUUUGCCUGGGUUUCAAAAUGGAUCUUAUUUGACAUAAUACACCCUAAACAUCCGUGUGUUCGGUUUGGUUACCCAAACACCCAGGCAAUUAAGACCCAAACAAUUUCAAGGUUCGAACAGGCGAAUGAUUCGCUUACCAAGCAUUAAGGACUAGAUUCCAAGAUACUCGCCUAACCAAGCAAGAGUCCUAGUCUGACAUAAACUCUAUUUGCAGUGGAUAAGCGUCCCACCUUAUCCUGGACUCAGAGUCCUACUCUACUUAGACUUCCUCCCCAGCAGGAGUCCAACCGAUGCCUAUAAAAAGGGAUUGCCAGGUAUGUUUCCCUAUCUUAGUUCCAUUCAUUCAAUCUCAGGACCCUUUACUAAGUAUUGGAACAGCAUCAUUAUUGAACCGAUUUCUCUAAUUAACUGGGCUCUAAGUUGAAGAUGAUACUAUAUUUUCAGUUUUACCCUUUAUUAAGUCAAUAAAGUUCCUAUAUGCCCAUUAAGGUCAGAUUAUUACAAGGUUGUCAUUAGUGAUUAAAAAUAUUCUUGCUUGAUUUGGCUGGAUUAACACUAGAGGAUAAAAUUGUAAUGAUUUUGAAAGUUCUUAUACUUGAUAAAAAAAAAAUGGAUUGCAAUUGAAAAAAGCCCAAAGUUUAAGAUUCUUUUUGGAAAGCCUAAAUAAAGGAACAAAAAGAUUGCUUCUAAUCUAAUCCAAUGUAUACAACAACAACAAAAACAAAUACACUUUAAUCCCAAACUAAUUGGGGUCGGCGAUAUGAAUCCUGUUCAUCAAAUUAAUAAAUCAUUUGCCAACUGAAAAUCUACAGAAAUGAUAAAAUAUACCUACUAAAUGCAUCCAGGCUGAUACCUCAAGUAAUAAACUUUUGCAAGAAACCCUACGCUAACACACAUGCAUGUACGCAUGCACAAACAAACACAAACAACUAGGGGAAAAAAAAACCAAAGAGCGUUCUAUGGAAAACAUAAAACAUAAUAGUUAUUUGUUACCUGAAUGAGUUGCUGCGUUGUGUAGUAAUUUGUCUUCUCUUUAAGCUCAUCAAUUUUUGCUUGCCUCUCAGCUCGAAGCCUUUCUAGAGUUUUCUGAUCCUUGCGAUCACAAAUCCUUGUGAAGCUCACAAAUGCUGAAUAAGCAAGGGACGAUAAACCAGGCAAAAGAAACAUUGGCAAAACUCGAAAUGCCCUCAUCUUCCAAUUCAAAUCCAUUGAUCUAGUCGUCAUUAUAGCAUAACCCACUGCAAUUACCUGGAUUUAAAGAACAAUUAUAGUAAGCACAUAUGACUGGGGAAAACCAUGAAUUACCAACUUCACAACAUUAUACUUCCGUCAAAUUUAAACUAGCAUUAGCAAGUGCCUAUACACCAAAUGGUGAAGCUCUUAGACCUGUUGUUUUGCAUGGGUUAAAACAUUACAGGUGAAUUUAUAAUCAUCUGGAAUACAAUAUAAGGAUAUCCACAAAUGUGUUGAUAUACUUGUAAUUGGCAGAUAUAACUACACAAUGGAUAUCAAAGAGCAUCCCAUUUUGAGAACACACGCAGUUGUAAAUUUCCAGGCUGCUAAACAGAAACUGGAGUAACUGAAACUAGGAAUCCAAGAAUUUGAAGCGAUGCAUUGCCAAUAGGAAUCCAAGAAUUCGUCGUAAAGCAGCAAAGGAAAGGACAAAAACCUCAAAAAUGAUGGAGAAAAUAAUGAGAUUCCUGGUCAUCUUCCUCCAAGUAAGGGAUCUCCUUUUCAUCCUAGAUAAAACAGCAGCUUCUUCCUUGGAAAUGUUUUGCAGUCUCUUUUCAAAAUCGUCCCCAUGGAAUCUAAAAAUGCCAUUCCAGAUACGAGACAUAAUACCCUUGCGCUUCUUUUUAUCAAUUAAUCUUUGUUCAUUCUUUUCACCUUCUGCUAUGCCUUUGUCCUCUGCCAUUUCUUUCACUCGUUUCUUGUUCUUGUACUACUGCUGCUACCCGAAAGAAACGGAUGGACAGUCGAUCUAUCAAAACGUUCGGGUAGUAGCUGGCUGAAGCUUCUUUAGUCCUCUUUUCCUCUUCAAAAGAAGUGCGUCCCAGAUCUAUCUGAAAUAAAACAAGCAAUCAAACUCCAAGCCGUAGAUGGGGCUUGGGAUUAGGGAGGAGGCAACACGGGAACAGAUCGACAAUAAUUACGGUAAUGGUCUCCGACUCUGGGUUUAUUUUUUGCAAGCAAUUUCAACUUCGCGAAAACCAAUCCAUUAAUAAAUGCAAUCUCUCAUCAAACUUGGACCCUACUCAACCCUCAUCCACGCGAAAGGUCAAUUUGGAUAGGGGACAGG